AAGUCGUAACAAGGUCUCCGUAGGUGAACCUGCGGAGGGAUCAUUAACACUAUUUUGGCUCAUCUGUCACUGAAGAUUCUCGCAAGGGGAGAUUUUGUGACGGGUUAGUUGAGAUUUUCACAAACCUGUCGAACUCGGUUACGUUAUUCCGUAAUCAAUCUACCUUUUCACCACUCUGUAAGCCAAUAGACUGAUAUAACGUGGAACAUUGAAAGGUGUAUCCCGUCAAGAUAAACAAACUAAGCACAACUCUUAGCAACGGAUAUCUUGGUUCUC
This 276-nucleotide unclassified non-coding RNA is filed under the name fungal sp. RNAcentral's name for it is "partial internal transcribed spacer region". The stretch from base 1 to 46 matches the Rfam family "Eukaryotic small subunit ribosomal RNA", at positions 1786 to 1831 of the family's 1831-position model. Lineage: Eukaryota; Fungi. The record is from RNAcentral.